This 70-nucleotide transfer RNA is filed under the name Acestrorhynchus sp. NM-2010. RNAcentral's name for it is "tRNA-Glu". It matches the Rfam family "tRNA". Rfam says of the family: Transfer RNA (tRNA) molecules are approximately 80 nucleotides in length. Their secondary structure includes four short double-helical elements and three loops (D, anti-codon, and T loops). Lineage: Eukaryota; Metazoa; Chordata; Actinopteri; Characiformes; Acestrorhynchidae. The record is from RNAcentral.
GUUCUUAUAGUCAAAUGUAUGACGGUGGUAUUUCAAAUCACUGGUCUUGGUUAGAGUCCGAGUGAGAAUU